GCGUUUGACAGAUAAAAUUCUAUAAAUCAUUUCAAAGCAAUUUCGCUCGGCCUAGAAUUUCAUGUUGUGGCCCAAUUCGUCGUCCAUCUGUUCAAGAAAUUUGUGGAACCUGCCUCGUCAAUCAGAUCCAUUUCCAUUCUGAUGAAGAAACAUUGUUCGGUAGCCGAAUAAUCUGUUUAUCAAGCAUCAGAGAUCGUUGCUACUUUCGGAAAUCGACUUUUUCUUUAAUUACAUUGAUUAUCUGCUCGAUUGUCAAGUCUCUUGUGUUUCCAAUUCUUGUUUACUUCAAGAUGAUGGUCGAGGAUCUCGGUAUCGAAGCAAAGGAAGCAGCCGUACGCGAGGUUGCCAAGCUUCUGCCGCUUCCGGAGCUUCUGCAGUCAAUUAGUUCGAUCAAGGCCGAUUACAUUACUCGUCAGCAGGCUAAUGAUGCACAACUCAGUACAAUGGUUGCGGAGCAGGUUGAACAAGCACAAGCUGGACUGGAGUCGCUUUCUUUAUCUGAAAAGUCAAUAAACCAGCUUCGAGAAAACUUUAUUUCAAUUGAGAAGUUAUGUCAAGAAUGCCAAACAUUAAUAGAGAACCAUGAUCAGAUAAAGCUCCUUAGCAAUGCAAGGAAUAACUUGUUAACAACCUUGAAGGAUGUUGAGGGCAUGAUGUCCAUAUCUGUUGAAGCGUCUGAGGCCCGAGAUUCUUUGAGUGAUGCAAAAGAGCUUAUAAACACUUACGAGAGGCUAACUGCACUUGAUGGAAAACGGAGGUUUGCUUUGGCAGCUGCAGCAUCUCACAAAGAAGAGGUUGGGAGACUAAGAGAAUAUUUUGAAGAUGUAGAUCGAACGUGGGAAACAUUUGAGAAGACCUUAUGGGAACAUGUGUCCAACUUUUAUAAACUUUCUAAAGAGAGUCCACAAACAUUGGUUCGUGCUAUAAGAGUCGUUGAAAUGCAAGAAAUUCUUGAUCAACAACUUGCUGAGGAAGCAGCUGAGGCUGAGGGAGGUGGCGCAAUGGCAACUGUAGCAAACCCUCGCAGAACCACAAAAAAAACCACCACAGCAACAGCUUCUUCUAGAAACCUUACACAGCAAAAAUUGAAGGCUCAGGGGAAACAAUACAAAGACAAAUGCUAUGAGCAAAUAAGGAAGACUGUUGAAGGAAGGUUUAGUAAACUUUUGACGGAGCUUGUUUUUGAGGACCUGAAGGCAGCUUUAGAGGAAGCUCGAACGAUUGGAGAAGAGCUUGGUGAUGUCUACGACUACGUGGCUCCUUGUUUCCCUCCAAGAUAUGAGAUAUUCCAACUCAUGGUCAAUCUGUACACUGAAAGGUUCAUUCAGAUGCUCAGAUUACUCAGUGACAGGGCAAAUGAAUUGACCAAUAUAGAAAUUUUAAAGGUUACUGGUUGGGUUGUAGAGUAUCAAGAUAACCUGAUUGGACUAGGUGUUGAUGAGUCCCUGGCCCAAGUAUGUUCUGAGAGUGGUGCUAUGGAUCCCCUGAUGAAUUCUUAUGUUGAAAGAAUGCAAGCUACUACAAGGAAAUGGUACUUGAAUAUCUUGGAGGCUGAUAAGGUUCAACCACCCAAAAAAACUGAAGAUGGCAAGCUGUAUACACCUGCAGCUGUUGAUUUGUUUAGGAUCCUAGGUGAGCAAGUACAAAUUGUUCGUGAUAAUAGCACGGAUGUCAUGCUUUACAGAAUUUCCUUGGCUAUUAUUCAGGUAAUGAUUGAUUUUCAAGCAGCUGAGAGGAAGAGACUUGAAGAACCUGCUUCUGAAAUUGGUUUAGAACCUUUGUGUGCAAUGAUUAACAACAACUUGCGUUGCUAUGAUCUUGCUAUGGAGUUAAGUAAUAGCACGAUAGAGGCGCUCCCUCAGAAUUAUGCUGAACAGAUAAAUUUUGAAGACACUUGCAAAGGCUUCCUAGAAGUUGCCAAGGAAGCUGUGCAUCUAACGGUCAGUGUCAUUUUUGAGGAUCCUGGAGUGCAAGAGCUACUUGUCAAGCUUUAUCAAAAGGAAUGGUCCGAAGGGCUCGUUACAGAAUACCUAGUCGCAACGUUUGGAGACUAUUUUACAGAUGUGAAGAUGUACAUCGAAGAAAGAUCGUUCAGAAGAUUUGUCGAGGCUUGCCUAGAGGAAACUGCGAUCGUCUAUGUAGACCAUUUGCUGACACAGAAAAACUACAUAAAGGAAGAAACUAUUGAGCGGAUGAGGCUGGAUGAAGAGGUCCUCAUGGACUUUUUCAGGGAGUAUAUAAGCAUUUCUAAAGUAGAAAGCAGAGUAAGGAUACUGAGUGAUCUAAGGGAACUUGCUUCUGCGGAGAGUCUGGAUACUUUCACACUCAUUUACACCAAUAUCCUUGAGCACCAACCGGACUGCCCGCCCGAGGUGGUCGAGAAGCUCGUUGGACUUCGGGAAGGCAUACCAAGAAAAGACGCUAAAGAGGUUGUACAAGAAUGCAAAGAAAUAUACGAGAAUUCGCUGGUUGGAGGGAAUCCGCCAAGAACAGGGUUUGUAUUUCCAAGGGUCAAGAGCUUAGCACAAUCCAAAGGAUACCGAUGGAGGAAGUGAGGUUAAUUAAGUAUCGUCUCUCCCCAUCUCUCUCUCUCUCUCUCUCUCUCUCUCUCUCUCUCUCUCUCUCUCUCUCUCUCUCUCUUCUCUCCCACCAAUACAAAAAGCAUUUCAUAAGUCACAGAGUAGGUCUCUUUCUCUCUCUCUUUCCCUCUCUCUGCUUCUGUAAGCUUCUCUCUCUCUUCUCUCUCUUCUCUCUCUUCUCUCCCACCAAUACAAAAGCACUUCACAAGUCACAGAGUAGGUCUCUCUCAGUCUCUCUCUCUCUCUCUUUCUCUUCUCUCCCACCAAUACAAAAAGCACUUCACAAGUCACAGAGAACGUCUGUCUCAGUCACUCUGUUUGCUUAAGUUUCCACCAAAAGUGAGUAUCGUAGCACAUCCAAGGAACUUCACUUCUACUUAUAAGUUCCUUUCAUUCCUUCUACAAUCUCCAUUUCUCACCCAAUUCCCUGCAACCAAGUACUCCCUUUCUA
Non-coding RNA from Cucurbita pepo subsp. pepo (vegetable marrow), 3030 nucleotides. Lineage: Eukaryota; Viridiplantae; Streptophyta; Magnoliopsida; Cucurbitales; Cucurbitaceae. The record is from RefSeq and is a predicted model, not a curated record.